UAGCAGUAUCUAAAAGAAUACUUUGGUAUAAAAUUAACAAAAGAAGUGAAAGACUUAGACACCAAAAAGCAAAGUAUUGCUAAAGGAAAUUUUAAAAGACGUAACUAAAUGAAAAGACAUCCAAUGUUCAUGCGUCAAAAAACAUUAGAAUAACAGUAUUUUCCAAGUAGAACUAAAGAUCCAGUGCAAUCCUUAUCAAAAUCCCAGCUGGCUUUUUUGGGCAGAAAUUGACAAGCUGAUCCUAAAACUCAUGUUCAAGAAUGUUGUAAUCUAGGGCAAGACAAAAACUCUAUCACCAGUAGUUCUUUCUAUCAAGACCAUGCAUUUAUUGUGUACAGACUAAAACUCUUAGUGCAUCUUCCUAAAAUCUAAGCGUACAGCAACAGAUUUUAGAUAUAUUUUCUUUGAUGUCAGAACCACAGAGGAUAACAAUGGAGGGUGAGUACCAUGAUGAGAGAAUAUAGCAUGAGAGAAACAUGAAGAUAAAAACUUUAUUCGUAAAACUGUAGAGAAGAAAACUCACUUCCCAUUUGAAGGCAAGCGAGAGUCAAGACUGCCUCAGAGCAUACAUGUGGCCUCAAGAUUUGCUGGAAAUGGAAGAGAGACGAACAACUCUUCCUAUAUUGGAGGACGCUGCUGUGCCUGGGGACCAAGUCUGCAUGGGCAAAUAACUCUAAACCACCCAGCUCCAUCUCCAGGGUUCCAAACAGCUCCACUCCUUAUCUGUGGAUUCACAUUAGUGAAUCUAUUGGCAAAGCUCAGGCAAGGUGAAGUCUGCUUGAUUUUACCUCCCCAGGAAGUAGAAAAUGAAACUGAUCCAGAUUUCCUCACAACUGUCCUGUCAGUCAUCAAUCAGGAGAAAGAAAAGUCCUUGAUUUGACUUUUAAUUAUGUCACUUAUUGAGUAAUUUUUUAUCUAUAAAUUGGAAGUAAUUAUAUCUGCAUAUUGUGAUAAUUAAAAUAUAAUCUUUCUCCUUGAUCCUCAGAGUAAUUUACAAGUCAAGCAACAAUACUCUAAUUUUUAAAUGAAAAACUAAUCAGAUGCAUUUAUUACUUGAAGAUUUAUAUAUACUUUCUUAUUUAUGAGUGCUUUGGGGUAUUGCUGGGAGGAUUCAGAGCAAAUUCCUCUGCCAUUUUGGUUUUUUCCUUCAUUUUUAAGGGAAGGAAGCAAUAAAGAAGAAAACAUGUAAAUUAAAUUAUUGCAUUCUCAUAUACCAAGCUGACUGUGCUGUUAUUUUUUCUUUUCUGAAACCUUUUCCCAGCUCCAUCACUAAACUUGAAGCUAAUAGGGAAGCCAACGGCACCAGGUGUGGCAGUGGCCACUUCUACCGUUUGCACACACCUGUUCAAUGCUCUUUGAGUAAAACUGACAGCACGAAAUUUACCCCUGUGUUUCUAUUAUCUGAAAUUCUAUAUUUCCAAAAUGUCUAAUGUUUUUCUUUUCUUUUCUCCAUCCUCCAUGAGUUAUGUUGUUAUUAGUUCUUCUCAUUAUACUGAUCAGCAAGCAAAGUAGUGUAUUCAUUUAUUUAUUCAAUGAAUUGGAAAUAUCAAGAGCUUUGUGCAUAGUACUGUAAAACCCUGAAAGUUUCUGCCUUCUCCAUGUAAUAACCAGAGUGACAGAAGAUUUUUAACUCAGGUUUGGGCUCUCAUUUCAGUCUUCCUAACAUUUCACAAUAUAACAUGCUUUGAAAAGGAAACUGUUAUUUGGUCAGGAAGAUGUUCCUUUUCACUGGAGAAAAAAGGAGAAAUAAAUCAGGCAAUUCCAUUCAUCUGCCUAGCUGCAGAUGACUAAAGUACAUGAAACUUCUUUAUUUUCUAAUUAACAGCUAUAGGGCUGGUCUCAGGAAACCGUGCAUAAGUAGUUCAUAAAAGGCAAAAGGUUCAACAUCACCAUGCAAAAAUGAUAAUUAAAAAAGGAGGGAGAAAGGUUGCUUAUAAAUUACACUACACUUGAGGCUAUAACAAAAUCUUUUUAAUUAACUGAAAGAAUGAGGCAAGCAAAUGCUGAGCUUUUACAACUGGUUACUCAAGUUUGUGUGCUAUUGGUAAGCUGAAUAUCACUAAUCAUCAUCUCAAGGGGCGUAGAUUAUCCUAGCGAAUUCUAAAAAUAGUAUCAUCAAAGAUUUUGGCAUUUGCCCUGCUUCUCUGUAGCUCACCUACUAUAACAGAAUCCAGAAACACCCACUGUAAGAGCCAGACUUUUUCUGAAGAACAAAUUUCUUAUGUAAAAGUCACAACAGAAAAAUGCAUCACUACAGACAGCCAUCUGCCGGUUUUCUCUGUUGUAGGAGAAGCAAUUUAUUUUAGAAGAGUUUCUUAGCCAGGGACUCCAGAUUCCAUCUUCAUUUGUGUUUCUUUGGGGUUAAUUUUCACUUUGGUCACUAUCUCAUGUGUUCUUACUCUUCACAUUACCAGUGAUGGUGAAAUCAUUACUCAUAAUGACAGGAUCUAAGAAAAUCCUAUCACACAUCAUAGCAUAAUGGUGGUAUGUCCUGUUGCUUUCAAACCUUUAUUUCUAAAAUAAUUUUUUAAACAUUUUAUUGAAAUGUAGUUGAUUUACAAUGUUGUGUUAGUUUCAGGUGUACAGAAAAGUGAUUCAGUGAUAGAGAUAUAUACAUAUUCUUUUUUAGAUUCUUUUUCACUGUAAGUUAUUAGAAGAUAUAGAGUAGAUUUCUCUGUGCUACAUAGUAGGUCCUUGUAGUGUUUAUCUAUUAAUUCCAAACACCUACUUUAUCCUCUCCUUUCCUCGCUGGUACUUCAAACUUCUUUUUAAUCUCUUAUCAAAAUCUGUGGUUCUUUGCGGGCCUGAGACUGGAGGAUGAACAUUAGCACCAAGUUGGAAAGUACUUUGAUACUAUUGAACAGUUUGCAUUGAGAUGGGAAAAGAAACUAAUCCUUAGGAAUGUGGCCCAUUAAUCCAAUUAAAGAGUCAAGCAAAUUUUAACAACAUAUGUCACCUCAAUAAUGUAAUUUUCCUAACAUAAAAGAAUAUAAUUUCUAAGCAUUUUAUUUCUGUUAAAAAAAAAAAACAACACAGAGACUUCAAAGUCCAAAGCCUAGAAGCAGACCACUGGAGUUAAAAAACAAACAAACAACAGAAAAAAAAAAAAAAAAAAACCCUCUCAACUGGAAGCACCCCUGGAAAAAGAUAAAGGGAUUUAGGAAUUAAUAAGGUCUGGGUCCUCACUCUGUGUCAACACAAUUUAGUCCUCAUGACACCUGACUCCAUUACUAUAUGGCUAUGCCUAUUGCUCCCUCUGCCUUAUUAUCAAUCAGGAGCACUGCAAUUAGGGAGUAACACAGCUCAAGGUCGCAUAGGAUGAUUAUUGAUUCUGAAGUGGAUUUCUAAGCAGAGCCUCUAGAUGGCACUCUUUCUUAUCAGUAGUCAAGGUGAACAAUUUUCUUUCCUAUCUUCACAACAAAGGAUUAAAAUUGGUCCUCUUGUCUUGUAUUUUGAUACAAUUGCAUCUUAGUAGAAAGCUGGAUGCUUACAUAACACAUCUCUUAAAGUUUACCAACAAGAAGUUGUGCUCUU
RNAcentral lists this long non-coding RNA (3534 nucleotides) under Sus scrofa (pig). Its description in RNAcentral is "lncRNA (ENSSSCG00000062816.1)". The record is from RNAcentral. Lineage: Eukaryota; Metazoa; Chordata; Mammalia; Artiodactyla; Suidae.